CUUGGUCAUUUAGAGGAAGUAAAAGUCGUAACAAGGUUUCCGUAGGUGAACCUGCGGAAGGAUCAUUAUCGUACAAAAUGUGUGAGGCAUGCAAGGGCUGCCGCUGACUUUUUAAUCACAAAAAGUCGUGCACGCCGGAGCGUGUCCUCUCGCAUAAAAUCCAUCUCACCCUUUUGUGCACCACCGCGUGGGCACCCUUUGGGAUCGAACCGAUCCAGGAGGGCGCUUGCGUUUUCACACAAACCCCCUUAUAAAAGUGUAGAAUGACCCCAUUUUUGCGAUAACACGCAAUCAAUACAACUUUCAACAACGGAUCUCUUGGCUCUCGCAUCGAUGAAGAACGCAGCGAAAUGCGAUACGUAAUGUGAAUUGCAGAAUUCAGUGAAUCAUCGAAUCUUUGAACGCACCUUGCGCCCCUUGGUAUUCCGAGGGGCACACCCGUUUGAGUGUCGUGAAAAUCUCAACCUCCUCGGUUUCUUCUGGACGCCGAAGGAGGCUUGGACUUUGGAGGCCUUUGCUGGCGUCUCUCGCCAGCUCCUCUCAAAUGAAUUAGCGGGGUCCUCUUUGCCGAUCCUCGACGUGUGAUAAGAUGUUUCCAUGUCUUGGUUUCUGGCUCUGUCGCCUUUGGGACCCGCUUCUAACCGUCUCAAGUCGAGACAACGUUUGAGCGUGUCUCCCUUCUCGGGAAACACCCUCGAGCCCACGAACCCUUGACCUCAAAUCGGGUGAGACUACCCGCUGAACUUAAGCAUAUCAAUAAGCGGAGGA
This 768-nucleotide ribosomal RNA is filed under the name uncultured Lactarius. RNAcentral describes it as "eukaryotic LSU rRNA". The stretch from base 299 to 452 matches the Rfam family "5.8S ribosomal RNA". The record is from RNAcentral. Lineage: Eukaryota; Fungi; Basidiomycota; Agaricomycetes; Russulales; Russulaceae.